Molecule: ribosomal RNA, 524 nt
Filed under: Cellulosimicrobium funkei
Lineage: Bacteria; Bacillati; Actinomycetota; Actinomycetes; Micrococcales; Promicromonosporaceae
Description: bacterial SSU rRNA
Rfam family: Bacterial small subunit ribosomal RNA
Source: RNAcentral
UUNAUUUCUCGGGAGAAUCUUCCAGGUACCGUANACNNUUANAUGGUACCCGNAAANUUUACCUUGUUACCACUUACCNGUANCUUGGUGCCCUUAACUUCGGGAUUUUCCCGGAAACCGGGGCUAAUACCGGAUAUGAGCCGUCCUCGCAUGGGGGUGGUUGGAAAGUUUUUCGGUCAGGGAUGGGCUCGCGGCCUAUCAGCUUGUUGGUGGGGUGAUGGCCUACCAAGGCGACGACGGGUAGCCGGCCUGAGAGGGCGACCGGCCACACUGGGACUGAGACACGGCCCAGACUCCUACGGGAGGCAGCAGUGGGGAAUAUUGCACAAUGGGCGAAAGCCUGAUGCAGCGACGCCGCGUGAGGGAUGAAGGCCUUCGGGUUGUAAACCUCUUUCAGCAGGGAAGAAGCGCAAGUGACGGUACCUGCAGAAGAAGCGCCGGCUAACUACGUGCCAGCAGCCGCGGUAAUACGUAGGGCGCAAGCGUUGUCCGGAAUUAUUGGCGUAAAGAGCUCGUAGCGGUUU